Molecule: ribosomal RNA, 492 nt
Filed under: uncultured bacterium
Lineage: Bacteria
Description: partial 16S ribosomal RNA
Rfam family: Bacterial small subunit ribosomal RNA
Source: RNAcentral
GAUGAACGCUAGCUACAGGCUUAACACAUGCAAGUCGAGGGGAAACGACAUCGAAAGCUUGCUUUUGAUGGGCGUCGACCGGCGCACGGGUGAGUAACGCGUAUCCAACCUGCCCAUCACUUGGGAAUAACCUUGCGAAAGUAAGACUAAUGCCCAAUGAUAUCCCACGAAGGCAUCGGAAUGGGAUUAAAGAUUUAUCGGUGAUGGAUGGGGAUGCGUCUGAUUAGCUUGUUGGCGGGGUAACGGCACACCAAGGCAACGAUCAGUAGGGGUUCUGAGAGGAAGGUCCCACACAUUGGAACUGAGACACGGACCAAAAUCCUACGGGAGGCAGCAGUGAGGAAUAUUGGUCAAUGGGCGAGAGCCUGAACCAGCCAAGUAGCGUGCAGGAAGACGGCCCUAUGGGUUGUAAACUGCUUUUAUAAGGGAAUAAAGUGGGUCACGUGUGACUUUUUGCAUGUACCUUAUGAAUAAGGACCGGCUAAUUCCGUG